CGGGAGCCGUAAGACAGGUGCUGCAUGGCUGCCGUCAGCUCGUGUCGUGAGAUGUUGGGUUAAGUCCCGCAACGAGCGCAACCCCUAUCCUCAGUUGCCAUCAUUAAGUUGGGCACUCUGUGGAGACUGCCGGUGUUAAACCGGAGGAAGGUGGGGAUGACGUCAAGUCCUCAUGGCCCUUAUGACCAGGGCUACACACGUGCUACAAUGGCCGGUACAAAGAGUUGCAAUACCGCGAGGUGGAGCUAAUCUCAUAAAGCCGGUCUCAGUUCGGAUUGGAGUCUGCAACUCGACUCCAUGAAGUUGGAAUCGCUAGUAAUCGCGGAUCAGCACGCCGCGGUGAAUACGUUCCCGGGCCUU
RNAcentral lists this ribosomal RNA (360 nucleotides) under uncultured Geobacter sp. RNAcentral describes it as "bacterial SSU rRNA". It matches the Rfam family "Bacterial small subunit ribosomal RNA", at positions 1021 to 1382 of the family's 1533-position model. Lineage: Bacteria; Pseudomonadati; Thermodesulfobacteriota; Desulfuromonadia; Geobacterales; Geobacteraceae. The record is from RNAcentral.